RNAcentral lists this transfer RNA (72 nucleotides) under Myotis davidii. It matches the Rfam family "tRNA". Rfam says of the family: Transfer RNA (tRNA) molecules are approximately 80 nucleotides in length. Their secondary structure includes four short double-helical elements and three loops (D, anti-codon, and T loops). Lineage: Eukaryota; Metazoa; Chordata; Mammalia; Chiroptera; Vespertilionidae. The record is from Rfam by way of RNAcentral.
GCUCAUUUAGCUCAGUGGAUAGAGCAUUGGCCUGCAGACUGAAAAGUCCCAGGUUCGAUUCUGGCAAGGGCA